CGGACCUCAGAUCAGGCAAGACCACCCGCUGAGUUUAAGCAUAUCACUAAGCGGAGGAAAAGAAACUAACAAGGAUGUCC
Molecule: ribosomal RNA, 80 nt
Filed under: Lejeunea ramulosa
Lineage: Eukaryota; Viridiplantae; Streptophyta; Jungermanniopsida; Porellales; Lejeuneaceae
Description: partial 26S ribosomal RNA
Rfam family: Eukaryotic large subunit ribosomal RNA
Source: RNAcentral